This 336-nucleotide unclassified non-coding RNA is filed under the name soil metagenome. RNAcentral's name for it is "partial contains 5.8S ribosomal RNA, internal transcribed spacer 2, and large subunit ribosomal RNA". The stretch from base 1 to 120 matches the Rfam family "5.8S ribosomal RNA", at positions 35 to 154 of the family's 154-position model. The record is from RNAcentral.
GAUGAAGAACGUAGCGAAAUGCGAUAAGUAGUGUGAAUUGCAGAAUUCAGUGAAUCAUCGAAUCUUUGAACGCACAUUGCGCCUCCUGGUAUUCCGGGAGGCAUGCCUGUUCGAGCGUCAUUUCAACCAUCAAGCCCCCGGCUUGUGUUGGGGACCUGCGGCUGCCGCAGGCCCUGAAAAGCAGUGGCGGGCUCGCUGUCACACCGAGCGUAGUAGCAUACAUCUCGCUCUGGGCGUGCUGCGGGUUCCGGCCGUUAAACCACCUUCAUAACCCAAGGUUGACCUCGGAUCAGGUAGGAAGACCCGCUGAACUUAAGCAUAUCAAUAAGCGGAGGA